Alligator sinensis (Chinese alligator) is the source of this 190-nucleotide small nuclear RNA. RefSeq annotates it as U2 spliceosomal RNA. The record is from RefSeq and is a predicted model, not a curated record. The transcript has a single exon. NCBI's taxonomy places the organism in Eukaryota, Metazoa, Chordata, Crocodylia, Alligatoridae.
ACCUGUUUUAUUUAAAAAAAAAAAAAAAAAAAAAAAUCUGUUCUUAUCAGUUUAAUCGCUGAUACGUCCUCGAUGUGAGGACCGACGCAUUAAACACAUUUUUGGUGCCGGGAGCGGGCCUCGGAGCUUGCUCCAGCCCCUCCAUGCAUCGGCCCAGUAUUGCAGUACCUCCAGGCCCGGUGCCCGCCCC